This is a small nuclear RNA of Macaca mulatta (Rhesus monkey), 107 nucleotides long. The record is from Ensembl. NCBI's taxonomy places the organism in Eukaryota, Metazoa, Chordata, Mammalia, Primates, Cercopithecidae.
GUGGUCACUUUGGCAGCACAUAUACUUAAAUUGGAACAAUACAGGUAAGAUUAGCAUGGCCUCUGUGCAAAGAUGACAUGCAAACUCAUGAAGCAUUCCAUAUUUUA